This 431-nucleotide ribosomal RNA is filed under the name uncultured bacterium. RNAcentral describes it as "bacterial SSU rRNA". It matches the Rfam family "Bacterial small subunit ribosomal RNA", at positions 355 to 796 of the family's 1533-position model. The record is from RNAcentral.
UCGAGGAUCUUCGGCAAUGGGCGCAAGCCUGACCGAGCGACGCCGCGUGUGCGAUGAAGGCCUUCGGGUUGUAAAGCACUGUCGGGGGGGAGAAAAGGGCAACCUUGAUCGACCCCCGGAGGAAGCACGGGCUAAGUUCGUGCCAGCAGCCGCGGUAAGACGAACCGUGCGAACGUUGUUCGGAAUCACUGGGCUUAAAGGGCGCGUAGGCGGGCAGCCAGGUCAGAGGUGAAAUCCUGCGGCUCAACCGUAGAAGUGCCCCUGAUACCGGCUGUCUAGAGGGAGGUAGGGGCGUGCGGAACUUCCGGUGGAGCGGUGAAAUGCGUAGAUAUCGGAAGGAACGCCGGUGGCGAAAGCGGCGCGCUGGACCUCUUCUGACGCUGAGGCGCGAAAGCCAGGGGAGCAAACGGGAUUAGAUACCCCUGUAGUCC